Molecule: long non-coding RNA, 132 nt
Organism: Bufo bufo (common toad)
Lineage: Eukaryota; Metazoa; Chordata; Amphibia; Anura; Bufonidae
Exons: 3
Source: RefSeq, a predicted model, not a curated record
AGUCAUCACGGCUCCUGCGCGCCGGUGUGCCCGUUCGCGGCUCUGUACUAUACUGGCCAGGAAGAAGUCAUCAUGGCGCAUGCGCGGCGGUGUGCGCAUUCAGGACAUUGCGCAGCCCUGCUGGGAGAAAAU